ACGAACGCUGGCGGCGUGCUUAACACAUGCAAGUCGAACGGUGAAGGGGUCUGCUUUUGUGGGCCCUGGAUGAGUGGCGAACGGGUGAGUAACACGUGAGUAACCUGCCCCCUUCUUCUGGAUAACCGCAUGAAAGUGUGGCUAAUACGGGAUAUUCUGGGUCUGUCGCAUGAUGGGUCUGGGAAAGAUUGCGCCUUUGGGUGUUUUUGGUGGGGGAUGGGCUCGCGGCCUAUCAGCUUGUUGGUGGGGUGAUGGCCUACCAAGGCGGUGACGGGUAGCCGGCCUGGGAGGGUGGACGGUCACACUGGGACUGAGACACGGCCCAGACUCCUACGGGAGGCAGCAGUGGGGAAGAUUGCACAAUGGGCGCAAGCCUGAUGCAGCGACGCCGCGUGAGGGAUGGAGGCCUUCGGGUUGUAAACCUCUUUCGCCAGUGAAGCAGGCCUGCUCCUUGUGGGUGGGUUGACGGUAGCUGGAUAAGAAGCGCCGGCUAACUACGUG
This 501-nucleotide ribosomal RNA is filed under the name uncultured bacterium. RNAcentral's name for it is "partial 16S ribosomal RNA". It matches the Rfam family "Bacterial small subunit ribosomal RNA", at positions 29 to 507 of the family's 1533-position model. The record is from RNAcentral.